This 78-nucleotide transfer RNA is filed under the name Muribaculaceae bacterium Isolate-080 (Janvier). Its description in RNAcentral is "tRNA-Val". It matches the Rfam family "tRNA". From Rfam's summary of the family: Transfer RNA (tRNA) molecules are approximately 80 nucleotides in length. Their secondary structure includes four short double-helical elements and three loops (D, anti-codon, and T loops). Further hydrogen bonds mediate the characteristic L-shaped molecular structure. tRNAs have two regions of fundamental functional importance: the anti-codon, which is responsible for specific mRNA codon recognition, and the 3' end, to which the tRNAs corresponding amino acid is attached (by aminoacyl-tRNA synthetases). tRNAs cope with the degeneracy of the genetic code in two manners: having more than one tRNA (with a specific anti-codon) for a particular amino acid; and 'wobble' base-pairing, i.e. permitting non-standard base-pairing at the 3rd anti-codon position. RNAcentral also lists the same sequence under 2 other names. The record is from RNAcentral. Lineage: Bacteria; Pseudomonadati; Bacteroidota; Bacteroidia; Bacteroidales; Muribaculaceae.
GGGCGCUUAGCUCAGCUGGUUCAGAGCGUCUGCCUUACAAGCAGAGGGUCGGGGGUUCGAAUCCCUCAGCGCCCACUA